AUAAUCUAGUUACGCUGCUUAUUUAGUUUUUAGAUGAGGUUUAUAGAAUGAGAUAUCACAAAACAAAAAAAAACGAAACAUGAAGUGAAGGAAAUGAUGUAGCAAGAAGUUCAGAUAGUAGAUAGUUCAGUUGAAAAAAUCACAAUGGUAAUGAAGUAGCAAAUUUGAUUAUAAAGUGUUUUGAAAGAGAUCGAUCAAGAAAGAUCGUGUGUAUCCCAUUUUUCACGAUUAAUAAUUAAUUUUUUAUUUGCAUCAGUCCGCAAAGCUGUCCAAUGAUUUCUGUAUCUAAUAUAAUCAAAAUAGUCCCGAAUGAUAUGAAAUAAUUUGAUGCCAUCUGCAUAUGCUGUGACCGGUAGGGAAGAGUUGGACAAAACCAGGUAGGUUGAUAAAACUGGGUACCCCUUAAUUCUUCUAACUGUCUGCUGCUAUCUAUUAGACAAUGUUCAAAUUAGUGUCCCUUUACCACCAACAGUCGUGUGUAUUCAUUUCUACCUCAUUUGAGUAAUCUGUGCCGGAGCAGUAAGACCUCACCUGUUUUUUGAUGCAGGAAACUCGAUUUUUAAGUUAACUACAACAUGUGGCUUCUUCUGUUGAAGAAGCUAGUAAGAACGCUAGUAGGAAAAAUAAAAAAAAAAUCUCCAGUCGUAAAAAAAUUAAAACUAAAUGAACUGGACAAAAAAAAGAAAAAACGUGGUAAAAAGGACUGCACCAAAAACAACAUUUUGGAGAGUUUGGAGGAAGAAGAUAAUAAUGUUGAUGUGUGUCUAUAUUACAAUUAACUAUUUUCAAAUUAUAAUGCGAAGGAAGGCUGGAUAAAAUGUGUGUCUUGCACCAAAUGGGCUUAUGACCCCUGUAGUGCCUAUGAUGAUGUAGAUGAAGUUUUUAUUUGUGACUUCUGUUCAUAGAUUUUCGAUUUUUGUUCACAUACUUUUAAUAAAUAUUUUAUUUUCUGCC
Diabrotica virgifera virgifera (western corn rootworm) is the source of this 954-nucleotide long non-coding RNA. RefSeq lists it as uncharacterized. The record is from RefSeq and is a predicted model, not a curated record. Lineage: Eukaryota; Metazoa; Arthropoda; Insecta; Coleoptera; Chrysomelidae. The transcript is spliced from 2 exons.